CUGAAAUCAGACAAAAAAAAGUUGCUUCUGAAAUCAGACAAAAAAAAAAGUUGCUUCUGUUCUGAAAGACUGCUGCUGAGCUCGGAAUCUGCUCCGUCACUUCGUGAUCAUCAUAAUUAGGGUUUUCUUUGUAAUACUUGAGAAUCUAGAUUCAGAUUGUUGUCAAAUUGGUGGAUUACGUUGUGGUUACUUAUGGACGGAGAGGAGUUAACCGAGCAGGAGACUGCAUUGUACGACCGCCAAAUUAGGGUUUGGGGUGCUGACGCUCAACGAAGAUUGAGCAAAUCUCACAUAUUAGUCUAUGGGAUGAAAGGGACUGCUGCCGAGUUUUGCAAGAACAUUGUAUUAGCGGGGGUUGGUAGUUUGACGUUGGUGGAUGACCGGGCUGUGACUGAAGAUGCAUUAUCUUCUAACUUUUUGAUACUGCCUGAUGAGAAUGUAUGUGCUGAGAAAACAGUUGCUGAGCUUUGCUGCAAUUCUCUAAAAGUAUUUAACCCAAUGGUUCGUGUUUCAGUUGAAAAAGGUUUGGCCCUUCUGUGCUCUUGCUUUUGAAAUAUGUCAAAGUCAACCUUGUUUUCUUAGCAUUAUUGUUUAAAAAAUAUUUGAUUUUCUAGUAUGGUUACAGAAAUGCCCUGGUUUGCUAAAUUCAGAAUAUAUGCAACUAAUUUAAAGCAAUAUAAAUAUCCAAAUUUCAGGUGAUCUGUCAAGCUUUGGUGGAGACUUCUUCGACAGGUUUGAUGUUGUCAUUGUCAGUUGUUGCACCCUCAUGACCAAAGUACUAGACAAUCUUUGUUCUUUUACUUAACAUAUGAUUAGGUUAUACUGACAGUUUUCUUUGUUACUUGUUUUGCACUUUUGGAGAGCCUACUUUUUCCCCAAUUUUCUUGAUUUUAUGCUUUACUGCAGAAAUUGAUCAAUGAGAAGUGCCGGAAGCUAUCAAAGCGUGUAGCUUUUUAUACAGUUGACUGCAGAAAUUCUUGUGGUGAGAUAUUUGUUGAUUUGCAGAAGCAUAUAUAUACAAAGGUGAUAGUCUACAUAUUUUUUUGGCUGCUAAGUGUUUGGUCCUAGAUAGUUUAUUCAAAUAUAACCAACUUAGCUUCAAAUCAUUUCUGUUGUAGGUGUUACAGUGCUGAUUUCUUGUUUUACUUCUUACAUUGACAACCAUCUCUUUCCUAUUUGUAUGCUCAAUGUCCAAUUAUAAGGACGUUGGCACAGAUGUGUCGUAUAAUUGACCUACUACCUCAUAUUGUAUGCUACAAUCAUUUUGGAUCACAGAGAUUUGGGAAUUAGUAGAUUGCUUGUUUGUUCAGUGGGAGUGUAGAGAAUGACUGGGUUCCCAUCUAAAAUACCUUUGUAGCCUUGUUUUAUAGAUGUAUUCUAUUUCUAUUUGUUAUUAUUUUGAGCUUGGACUUGGUCUUGUCUGGUCUGCUUCACAGCUCAUCUCUGGGGCUUUAUCUUAUAAAGUUACAGCUGAUAUUUGGUGCAAAAUUAUGGCUUUUAAGCAUCUUCAACAGGGGCACUAACUUUAUACUAUUUGUCAUUAUUGACAGAAAAAACUUGAUGAAAACAAUCAACCCACAACCGUUGAAUGUGAAUUGCAAUACCCAAGUUUUCAGGUAGUGCCAAAGUCUUGAAAUUUUUUAGUGAGUUUUGUGUAUAGUUGUGCUAAUUAAAAAAAAACUAUAAUUGUGUGAUCCAAUCUCCUGCUAUUUGUCUAAUUUCAAUGCACAGCAACAGUUAAAAGAUCUGGUAAAGCCAUAAAGUGUAUGGAUAUGCACUGGAUAUGGUAAAGUGACUAGUUUCAUGGAAGAAAUAGAAGUAAAAUCUUUCACAUUAUUGUUAAAAAUUUAAUUGAUUCUAUGUCAAUUCUCUAUCAACAAUCCAGCAAGCGCUUCUCUUAGUCGAGAAUUGAUGUGGAUGAGGAUCAAACUAAUGUAUAUCAUCAUCGAAAGAUAAUACUGUUGGUUUUUUAUGUUUAUUAAAAUUACAACAUUGGAAAAAUGGAAAGAACCAACCAAAUUGCCCACCAGGAAAGUGAACUAUAUUUUGCAUAAUUUCUCUAUUAUUGUACUCUUACAUUUUGUGACCAUUUUAAAUAUUACAUGCAUAAGGGAUUUGUUCUUCAUUAUCUGGACGGGCAUACAAACAUUUUUAUGCAACAUGCAUUUACAAUUUAGAGGUAACAAGCUUUUAAGCUUUAUUCCAAGCUUAGAUGGCGAUGGCAUUUGUUUUUAAAGUUGUAAAUAUUUUUUAUGGAUAAUAUUCUAAUAGCAUUAUGUAUUGUAUCCAGUUUACUGAUAGCCACAUGCUUGAUGCAGGAAUCAAUUUCAGUACCUUGGAGGAAACUCCCCAGGAGGGUGUCGAAGCUUUAUUUUGCCAUGAGAGGUGCGAUUACUUAUUCUGUUAUUGCUUUCUAUGGAAAUAAAAGAAAAGCUGAAAAGCAAGGAAAAGAGAAAGGAGGAAGCUAACCAAGCUACCUCAGACAAGUCACAGCAUUAUGAUAUGAUAUGGUGAAUGCAUCCAGAGCUGCUCAUCUAGGUUGUAUAACUUGUAUUUGGUACUUCGGAGCACAGAGUGAUACCUUGCAUAUGAGGCUGAGUUUAUUCCUGAUUGUCGUCAAAUCAGUUUCUUUGAUUUCUGGAGUAUGUAAUGAUAGUGUUUUGGCCUUCUCUUAGUAAAAAUAUCUUUGCAUAGUGUUUCUUCUCCAUCUCCAUGAAACUGGGUUUUUCAUAAAUUUGCUGGUGGUGGUUUGAAACUUGGCCUAUGCAUGGAAGAAUUACCUAUUUUAUCCUCCCUUUUUGCAGUGAUAGAAAGCUUUGAAGAGGCUGAGGGACGAAAUCCAGGGGAAAUUUCAAUGGAGGAUCUUCCUGCUGUUUUAAAGCUGAAAAAGGAACUUUGUGAGGCACAGUCGAUGAACGAAUCUCAUAUUCCUAAUGCCCUCCUGGAAAGAUUGGUGAUGGGUAAAAGAGAGUUCCCUCCAGUUUGUGCCAUCAUUGGAGGAAUCCUUGGACAGGUUGCAUUUCUUUUGAUUUCAUUGAAAUUAUCCAUGUUCUUUCAAACAUUAAAUACUUAAGUUUAUAUGUCUGACAUUAAAUCCUUUAGGAGGUAAUCAAAGCAAUAUCAGGCAAAGGUGAUCCUCUCCAGAAUUUUUUCUUCUUUGAUGCCAUGGACGGGAAAGGCGUAAUAGAGGAUAUAUCACCUCCUAACGUAUGAAAUUGUGCAUUUGUUUGUAAAUUUUAUUGUGGGGAACAGAUGAUGCAUGGGAUAAUUUUUAAUCUGAUGAUUUUCCAUGCUAGGAGAUAUUGACCCAAUGAUAGGAAUAUCAUUGACAGAUUUUUCAGCAGAUUUUGGACAUUAGAUUGUCGCUGAUGAACCUUUUAACUUGUGGCUCUCUGGUUGGAGCUUUUAUUUUUCUUAAUCAUGUUCAUACUGCUAAGUUAUGAUUGCAUUGCCAUGAUGCAACAUAUCUUGCAUGUGAGUGGUAUUCCUUUAAUAAGAGAUCUGAUAAGUGGCCAUUGAUGAUACGUUGCUUGUCCUGCAGCGAGAACAAGAAGCCAUUGUGUUUUGGGGAAAGAUAGAUUUCACUGGAGGCCUUAACCAGGCAAAAGAGUACAGUUAAAGAAAUCCUGGUUCGAGGGAUUCAGGAAAGAAGUGUCAUCAUGGUAGGCUGUGUUUGCCGAUACACGAGCUGCCCUGUUGCCACUACGUCUGAUAAAACCUGAAAACAACACUUUCUAGCGUAGAUUUCAAGGUAUUGAAUAUUUUUAAUGGGCUAAGGUGUUUCCUUGAUUCAUGGGUGUGGCCCAGACUGUUGGGCGCGUUCAAAAAUGUUCUUUUGAUAAUGGGAGGUGGGGGAUAUGCAAUCAGUUUGUCUCGUAAAUUAUAACUGAUACAAAAGGAAGCGCACCUGGGUCACACUUAUUCUUCACGUGGAAUUAUGUGGAUAAAUUUAUAUCCUUGUUAAAGAGGAAACAAGUGGCUUUAUGUUAAUUUAAAAAAAACAAUAAGUAAGAUUGUGAUGCACAUUGUUAUGAAGGUGAAAUUAUAUGAACCAGAUGCUUACUUAGGUCAGGGAAUGCGCUUGAAGCUGGAGGAAUCAUAUACGGAACAGCCGCAAGGCAAACUGUGGAGAUUAGAGAACGAAAGAAAAAGAAAAAGAAAUCAGAUUAUAGGAACCAAACAGAAUUGUAACCCUCCUGUCUCCUGCGAAGGGUCGCAAAUCCUAGUAACCAACACAAUGUUUAGGGAAAGUGCACAAAUCUCCAGCUCAGAAAGGUCGUCAAGAUUCCAUUGUUGAAGUAAUAGUCCAGAUUUUUUCUUCCAUGACAUCGUCGAGUUGUAUUCGUAUCAACUAUCUUAAGCUUGAGAAGCUCCAAACAGAAAUUCAAAAAUUAUAAAGUGGGUAGUUAUUAUCUCGCUAUAAUCUAAUGUCGUUAUAAUCCAGUGAAUCAGGUUCAAAUCAACGCCCGCUAACCUCAUUAUUGGUUCAAAAACACCACAAUCCCCAAGUCAUUAUAGGAUACGGUACAUAGAGACCCCACCAUGGAAAGACCAAGUAAACAAGGGAAAGAAACAGAAGAAAAACUACACCAGCAGUAUAAGCAUUUGGAAAAACAAUGGGACAACAUAAAACAAUUAAAACCGAGAACCUUGUGUAGAUCAUCAACAGAUUCAAUAGUCAUGGUUAGGGCCCUUCAUCUCCUGGACAACUCUCCGAGAAAACUCAUGUCUUCACUUCAACACAGAAGGUCACCUUCAGACGGUGGCGGAGCAUGGAAGGUAAGGUACAAUGAUUUGGCAGUUGAAGAGAUACUGAGAGAGAGAAAGGCAGCCAUUGAGAGUGGUAAAUUGAAGGGAAGACGGCUUUUUGACGCUGCGGAGGGUGCAAGUGAGGUGGGUUCUGGAGAGAGACAGGAGAUAAUAUCCAGUGGCUGGAAUGGUUUGCUUCAAGAGAGUGAAGUGAGGUCACUGUUCUCCUACGAUUCCGAUGAUGAAAAGGAAAAUGUUGAAAGCAAAGAAGAAGAGUUGUAUCCUGUUCAUUGUGGUUCUUCAUCAUCGUCAACUUCUUCUUAUAUCUGUGAUGACUGUAUCGAGGUGGCAGUGGCAAGUGAGAAGAAAGAGAAGAAAGCUGUAAAGAUUGUUGCUGGAUAUGGCACUAGAUUGACGACCGUCAAGGUUUGGCUUGCAAUUUUUUUAAUUCUGUGUGCCAUUGGUAUCAUCUCAAUGAAGAGACUUAGUGGCAAUGGAAAAGUAAAAGAGGUGAUUCUAGUCCCUACUUGAUCUCUCUUUGUUCUGUUCAGAUCGAUUCUUAUCUGAGGAGAGGUUAAUUUACUGAUCUAUGCAUUUUAUGUAAGAAAGUUUCUUCUCUUUUUAAUUGAAGAUUUUAAAUUUUACCAUACAUAUAAUAUAUAUCAUGGACAAUGUGAGAUAACAUGAUUAAUCUUGGCACAGGGUCCUCCCCCAUCCAUGCCAAGGGAAAAUUAAUUAAUUGAAGUUCAUGUUUCUGUCAUACGUAGAAGAUAAUAAAUUCCCCAGUUGUAAUUCCUGCAUGGUUCGUAGAAAGGAGUGUGUAUGUUUGCAACUACCAGAGGAUCUCUUCAAAGUUAUCAGAACCAGUGUCGGUUGGAUACUUGGAUGUGUAUGCAUCCCUUCAUUAAGUGACUCACUACAAUCUCUUCGUCUUUAGAAUUGCGUUGGACUUGCUUCUUCAAAACUGCAUCCAUUAUGCAUGCACUUGUAAUAACUUCUGUGCAAAUAAACCAACCCAAUUUCAACUCAAUUCUCAAAGCGGAGACAAGAUUAUAAGCACUAAAAUUGGGAACUUCUGCUCAUAUUUCUCCACCGAUGACCAUCAAUCCAUCAUCCAAUAUGUCAACCAGACUCCUUGUCUGAAAUGCAAAUCUAUGCAAGCCUUGUUAUCUCCUUAUUCUUCAUCAUCCCCUUGUUGGGUUUGGAGGAAGAAAAAACUAAGAACAUAUUUAUGCUAUAACAAGUAGAAGAGAAAAGACAUAAAUUCAUUACUAAAAAUAGAAGAUUUACAAACACAAAUUUAAAGCUUUUUUCUUUCUUUUCUCCCUCAUUUUGCUAGAUCUCUCAAA
This 6098-nucleotide unclassified non-coding RNA is filed under the name Hevea brasiliensis (rubber tree). The record is from RNAcentral. Lineage: Eukaryota; Viridiplantae; Streptophyta; Magnoliopsida; Malpighiales; Euphorbiaceae.